Molecule: ribosomal RNA, 345 nt
Filed under: uncultured bacterium
Lineage: Bacteria
Description: bacterial SSU rRNA
Rfam family: Bacterial small subunit ribosomal RNA
Source: RNAcentral
AUUGAACGCUGGCGGCAGGCCUAACACAUGCAAGUCGAGCGGUAGAGAGGUGCUUGCAUCUCUUGAGAGCGGCGGACGGGUGAGUAAUGCCUAGGAAUCUGCCUAGUGGUGGGGGAUAACGUUCGGAAACGGACGCUAAUACCGCAUACGUCCUACGGGAGAAAGCGGGGGGAGUCUUCGGACCUCGCGCCAUUAGAUGAGCCUAGGUCGGAUUAGCUAGUUGGUGAGGUAAUGGCUCACCAAGGCGACGAUCCGUAACUGGUCUGAGAGGAUGAUCAGUCACACUGGAACUGAGACACGGUCCAGACUCCUACGGGAGGCAGCAGUGGGGGAAUAUUGGACAAU